UGGCGGGCUAAUGGUCAGCGCACUUUUGUUCGAUUGCCAGGAGAACUCCCAACUGAACUGGUCCAAAGCAGGGCCAGCGAGGCAUCGACUGAAGCAGGGAGCUGGGAGGAGUCAUGGGAGGGUCCGCCAGAAAACGGACCCUGACCUGCUCACCCUACAUAAAUGGAAGGAACAAGGAACUUUUACCGCCUCUGAGCUGGAGACCUGGGGAGUUUGGGAAGAGUGCCACAGAUAUAUUGGUCAUCCAUGUAGCGAGAGAGAACCCUCUCCACGCUGUGCCAACGUUUCUUUUGGAUUGGGAUGAACCAGGAUGUUAAAGGCUGGACGGCCAGUUGCCCUCAGUGUCUGCAAAGCAAAGCGGGACCAGAGAUGAGAGCCCCCUUAAUGUCUAUAACAACCUCAUACCCCUUAGAAAUUGUAGGGAUUGACUAUUUGUCCCUUGUCAAAUGACCCAUACCAGUAUAUCCUAGUGAUUACCGAUUUGUUUUCCAAAUAUGCUCUGGCAGUCCCGACAAAGGAUCAAUCGGCAAUAACCACGGCCAAAGCCUUGUACCAUAGCUUGAUUCACACCUUUGGUUGCCCAGUACGGAUAUUAUCUGACCGAAGGGCGUCGUUUGAAUCUGCCCUACUGGAACAGUUAUGUACCCUUUAUGGCUGUACUAAGAGCCGCGCUACCCCUUAUUACCCCCAGGGGAAUGGGGCAUGUGAAUUUUAAACCAUACUUUACUGUCCUUGUUAGCAUCUCUCUCUGAAAACGUGUAGGCCCAAUGGCCCGACAAGCUUCCUACCUUACUAUCGGCCUAUAAUAACACAACUCAGUGUUACUGGCAUAACUCCACACUUUGUAGUGUUUGGAAGACAGGCCUGUCUUCCGGUAGACAAGAACGAGAUCAACACCGUUAUAACCAGAGAGCUUGUGCACUCCCCCUUCUCCCAGGCGAAAGAGUUUUACCACGAAAUCACCGUAAAUUGAACAAGGGCAAAUUGACUCUGCAUUGAGGCCCAAGAACGAUUUGUCACAGCUUUGGCCGGGCCAUCCCGUGUACGUAAUCAGGCCAGAGGGAAAAGAGGGACCCAACCGAACAGUUCAUAGGAAUAACUUACAUCCCUGCCUAGUUGAUGCCCUGCAGGAACCUUUGGUUACCCUGGAGGAUGGCGGCACGGUGGAGGUUCCUGCACCAGAUGCGUGGUCCCCAAUAUCCUUGGGACAUUUUCCCAGACAAUGCCUGGAUUAGCCCUGGUGACUGGGGCUAGAAGGUAACCGUCCACAAGAACUGGACCAGGAAUGCCUACAAGAGAACACUGAGGGACUGGUCCUCCGAUGUUCUGAUUGAGCUACCCAAGGUAAACCCCCAGGCAGGUUUAGGGACGUUUAGAAACUUGGUCGGGAUGACCAUAUUUUAAGUCAUGGGGAAUGACACAAAUAUCGCUGAGCUCAGUCAUGUCUCCAGCCACCAAACAGUGUGUAGUUUGUUUGUGCAGUGUAAAAUGAUUAUGUAUAAUUUUAUUCUAUUGCAUGCAGGUGUGGUGUAUAGGUUUGAGUGCUUUUGUAGAGUCUUUGCUGUGGGAUUAUAUUUUAUAUGAAUACUCUUUGGUUAUUGUGUGAUGUGCAUGAUUAAUUGAGUUGACAUGGACAUUAAUGAGAAUAAGAAACAGCUAUGGCAAAUUCCAACGACAUCUGGUCCCAGGACUAAUCAACAAACAGGUGGCAUUUAAAAUGGACAAAGAAACGAAAAGAGGGAGGCUUCCCUUUUCCUUGUGUCCUUUUACCUGUCAGCGGAUCUGAGCGUGUUCGACCAGGCUACCAAGACCGAACCACCGACCAGACCGAAUUGGAAGAGAUGACUGCGAAGAACCACUAUUUGCACUAUGCUCUCAAUGGGAUGGAAAGGGAAGUGAUUGUUUCUUUUGAACGAACGUGUAAGGAUCGCUGUGUUAUGCUUUUUCUUUUUUGGAUUGCUAUAUUAUCUUGCUUGAGGUAAUUGAAUACGGGAGAUCGAAUACGGGAGACUGUACAGAGUGGACAAGUAAGAAAAGGAACUGCCACCAUUCCACGACCAGCUGGAGCCAAGCCGGUACGGUAACAUAGGGGCUCGAGCCUAAGUCGCCUACCUUUUUCUAUGGAUGGUUACUUCUGGACUUUAGCAGUGGGAUCGGAUUCAGACAUAUAACCAAAUUGGUGGGGAUUAUUGGGUGAUUUAUCAAAGGGGAAGCUUUGGACUCUUUAUGGGUUGAUCAAGUGAUACAUGAUCAGUAGGCAUACAGAUACGCAUGUCUCAUGUUUUUAUGUUCAAUCUUAAGUCAUUUGGUCAGAAA
Esox lucius (northern pike) is the source of this 2316-nucleotide long non-coding RNA. The record is from Ensembl. NCBI's taxonomy places the organism in Eukaryota, Metazoa, Chordata, Actinopteri, Esociformes, Esocidae.